GAUGAAGAACGUAGCGAAAUGCGAUAAGUAAUGUGAAUUGCAGAAUUCAGUGAAUCAUCGAAUCUUUGAACGCAUCUUGCGCUCCUUGGUAUUCCUUGGAGCAUGCCUGUUUGAGUAUCAUGAGCAAAUCUCAAAGUCAAUUCCUUUUGUUGAUUCAAUUGGUUUUGCUUUGGACUUGGAGGCCUUGCAGAUUUCACAGUCUGCUCCUCUUAAAUGCAUUAGCUGGAUCUCAGUAAUUAUGCUUGGUUCCACUCGGCGUGAUAAGUACCACUCGCUGAGGACACUGUUAAAAAGGUGGCCAGGAAAAUACUGAUUGAACCGCUUCUAACGGUCUAUUAAGUUAGACAAUUACCCUUAAGUUUGAUCUCAAAUCAGGUAGGACUACCCGCUGAACUUAAGCAUAUCAAUAAGCGGAGGA
RNAcentral lists this unclassified non-coding RNA (418 nucleotides) under soil metagenome. Its description in RNAcentral is "partial contains 5.8S ribosomal RNA, internal transcribed spacer 2, and large subunit ribosomal RNA". The stretch from base 1 to 120 matches the Rfam family "5.8S ribosomal RNA", at positions 35 to 154 of the family's 154-position model. The record is from RNAcentral.